RNAcentral lists this unclassified non-coding RNA (200 nucleotides) under soil metagenome. RNAcentral's name for it is "partial contains internal transcribed spacer 2 and large subunit ribosomal RNA". The record is from RNAcentral.
CUGUUCGAGCGUCAUAUAAACCCCUCAAGCUCAGCUUGGUGUUGGGGCCUGCCUCCAGGCAGCCCUUAAAAUCAGUGGCGGUGCACCGGGCUCUAAGCGUAGUAAUACUCAUCGCUAUAGGGUGCCGGUGGAUGCUCGCCAGCAAUCUCCAAUUUUCUAUGGUUGACCUCGGAUCAGGUAGGGAUACCCGCUGAACUUAA